This 469-nucleotide ribosomal RNA is filed under the name uncultured bacterium. RNAcentral's name for it is "bacterial SSU rRNA". It matches the Rfam family "Bacterial small subunit ribosomal RNA", at positions 335 to 798 of the family's 1533-position model. The record is from RNAcentral.
ACUCCUACGGGAGGCAGCAGUGGGGAAUAUUGCACAAUGGGCGCAAGCCUGAUGCAGCCAUGCCGCGUGUAUGAAGAAGGCCUUCGGGUUGUAAAGUACUUUCAGCAGUGAGGAAGGUGGAUAUGUUAAUAGCAUAUUCAUUUGACGUUAGCUGCAGAAGAAGCACCGGCUAACUCCGUGCCAGCAGCCGCGGUAAUACGGAGGGUGCGAGCGUUAAUCGGAAUUACUGGGCGUAAAGCGCAUGCAGGUGGUUGUUAAGUCAGAUGUGAAAGCCCGGGGCUCAACCUCGGAAUUGCAUUUGAAACUGGCAAACUAGAGUACUGUANAGGGGGGUAGAAUUUCAGGUGUAGCGGUGAAAUGCGUAGAGAUCUGAAGGAUACCGGUGGCGAAGGCGGCCCCCUGGACAGAUACUGACACUCAGAUGCGAAAGCGUGGGGAGCAAACAGGAUUAGAUACCCUGGUAGGCUCU